Molecule: ribosomal RNA, 253 nt
Filed under: uncultured bacterium
Lineage: Bacteria
Description: partial 16S ribosomal RNA
Rfam family: Bacterial small subunit ribosomal RNA
Source: RNAcentral
UACGGAGGGUGCGAGCGUUGUCCGGAAUCACUGGGCGUAAAGGGCGCGUAGGCGGCUGGGGAAGUCGGCGGUGAAAGCCCGGAGCUCAACUCCGGGUCGGCCGUCGAGACUCCUCGGCUCGAGCUCACUAGAGGCAGAUGGAAUUCCGGGUGUAGCGGUGGAAUGCGUAGAGAUCCGGAAGAACACCGGUGGCGAAGGCGGGUCUCUGGGCCGAUACUGACGCUGAGGAGCGAAAGCGUGGGGAGCGAACAGG